RNAcentral lists this long non-coding RNA (112 nucleotides) under Ursus maritimus (polar bear). Its description in RNAcentral is "lncRNA (ENSUMAG00000021543.1)". The record is from RNAcentral. Lineage: Eukaryota; Metazoa; Chordata; Mammalia; Carnivora; Ursidae.
CUGCGGCAGCCAGGGUGGGGCCCAGAGGGAACCUGGCCCCUCCCGCCCCCACCUCGCCUUUGGGUCGAUGACUCCCAGGCUGUGGUGAGGGUCCCGGAGCCAGCACCACGGA